This is a long non-coding RNA of Amphimedon queenslandica, 651 nucleotides long. RefSeq lists it as uncharacterized. The record is from RefSeq and is a predicted model, not a curated record. Lineage: Eukaryota; Metazoa; Porifera; Demospongiae; Haplosclerida; Niphatidae. The transcript is spliced from 3 exons.
AAGAGCAGCCAUUUUGUGCAUAGAUAUAGGAUCGGCUGUUGGGAAACAUACAUUAGUAUUAGUGUGGUAUGGUUGACCAAAGGAUGAUCAGUUACAGACAGAUCGUCAUGUGAUUUGUGCUGAAUUUUGAUUCAAUCCCAGUUGUGAGUCCUGUAAUCGUAACUCAAGUUUAUUAGGCACUAGAUACAGAAGCUCGUACUAGCAUUUUUCUUGUACUGGUAUAUUACCAUCACAGUACUGCCAUAUUUUUGUCGGCAUCACUGGGCACAGUUGGGAAGAGGUACACAGAUACAGGAGGCUCCUUACCAUCCCAAUAUCUAUUCAACCCUAUAAUGUUUAUAUUUUUAAAAAUUUAGAAUAAUAUUUUUGUAUUUACUUCUUCCAGUAGAUCGUUGAAUGUUACAACUGCUACCAGUACUAGGAUCUGAAUGAAGACCAUGUUGGGGUCUUUUGCUGGAACCACUUAUACUUGAUGAUGGUGGCUGAUAUAUGGUAGUCGGCAGGGCUGUCUGGUCCCAGUGGUGGUGGUUCUUGGGCUGGUUUUCUGUGUAGUAGUGAGGGCUAUUCCCUUGCCACUAUCACUUAUUACCUGCCUGACAGCAUCAUUGACCGUGUUUCUUAGGCUGUUGGCAGAUUUUUCAGAAUAUACAA